UGGGGAAUCUUGCGCAAUGGGGGAAACUCUGACGCAGCGACGCCGCGUGCGGGAUGAAGGCCUUCGGGUUGUAAACCGCUUUCAGCAGGGACGAGGCCUUAUGGUGACGGUACCUGCAGAAGAAGCUCCGGCUAAAUACGUGCCAGCAGCCGCGGUAAUACGUAUGGAGCAAGCGUUAUCCGGAUUCAUUGGGCGUAAAGCGCUCGUAGGCGGUCUGUUAGGUCGGCAAGUUAAAUCCGGGGGCUCAACCCCCGUCCGCUUCCGAUACCGGCAGACUUGAGUUUGGUAGGGGAAGGUGGGAUUCCUAGUGUGGCGGUGGAAUGCGCAGAUAUUAGGAAGAACACCGGUGGCGAAGGCGGCCUUCUGGGCCAUAACUGACGCUGAGGAGCGAAAGCUAGGGGAGCGAACAGG
RNAcentral lists this ribosomal RNA (411 nucleotides) under Verrucomicrobiota bacterium. Its description in RNAcentral is "Verrucomicrobia bacterium partial 16S ribosomal RNA". It matches the Rfam family "Bacterial small subunit ribosomal RNA", at positions 355 to 776 of the family's 1533-position model. Lineage: Bacteria; Pseudomonadati; Verrucomicrobiota. The record is from RNAcentral.